RNAcentral lists this ribosomal RNA (274 nucleotides) under uncultured bacterium. RNAcentral's name for it is "partial 16S ribosomal RNA". It matches the Rfam family "Bacterial small subunit ribosomal RNA", at positions 523 to 796 of the family's 1533-position model. The record is from RNAcentral.
AGACGGAGGGGGCUAGCGUUGUUCGGAAUUACUGGGCGUAAAGCGCGCGUAGGCGGAUUGAUCAGUCAGAGGUGAAAUCCCAGGGCUCAACCCUGGAACUGCCUUUGAUACUGUCAAUCUUGAGUUCGAGAGAGGUGAGUGGAAUUCCGAGUGUAGAGGUGAAAUUCGUAGAUAUUCGGAGGAACACCAGUGGCGAAGGCGGCUCACUGGCUCGAUACUGACGCUGAGGUGCGAAAGCGUGGGGAGCAAACAGGAUUAGAAACCCCAGUAGUCC